GGUUCCUUCGUCUAACGGUUAGGACGGGAGAUUCUCAGUCUUCAAAUAGGGGUUCGAUUCCCCUAGGAACUAC
Molecule: transfer RNA, 73 nt
Filed under: Spirochaetes bacterium ADurb.Bin315
Lineage: Bacteria; Pseudomonadati; Spirochaetota
Description: tRNA-Glu
Rfam family: tRNA
About the family: Transfer RNA (tRNA) molecules are approximately 80 nucleotides in length.
Source: RNAcentral